GAUGAAGAACGUAGCGAAAUGCGAUAAGUAGUGUGAAUUGCAGAAUUCAGUGAAUCAUCGAAUCUUUGAACGCACAUUGCGCCCUUUGGUAUUCCUUAGGGCAUGCCUGUUCGAGCGUCAUUUAAACCUUCAAGCUAAGCUUGGUGUUGGGUGACUGUCCGCUUCACUGCGGACUCGCCUCAAAAUUAUUGGCGGCCGGUACAUUGGCUUCGAGCGCAGCAGAAACGCGAACUCGGGCCCGUCGUAUUGGCUCCCAGAAGCUAUCUUCACAAUUUUGACCUCGGAUCAGGUAGGGAUACCCGCUGAACUUAAGCAUAUUAAUAAGCGGAGGA
Molecule: unclassified non-coding RNA, 332 nt
Filed under: soil metagenome
Description: partial contains 5.8S ribosomal RNA, internal transcribed spacer 2, and large subunit ribosomal RNA
Rfam family: 5.8S ribosomal RNA (bases 1-120)
Source: RNAcentral